CCGAACACUUUGUUUUGCUUGAUGAAGAGCAGGAAGGGCAGCCUGGAGAGAAAGAGAAGCCGGGUUGAGCCCACUACCAUCAUCCACGUACCACGAGGAAGAUGAGGGAGAGAAAUGAUCCUACCAUUAAAGAGACUGUGAAAAGAGCGUUGAGAACAUCACCACUCUACAGGAAGACACAGUCCAGUAAUGGGUGUCAGAAGAAACAAACAAUCCAAAUUACCUGCAGAACGCCCUUGAUGGAGG
Molecule: long non-coding RNA, 246 nt
Organism: Platichthys flesus (European flounder)
Lineage: Eukaryota; Metazoa; Chordata; Actinopteri; Pleuronectiformes; Pleuronectidae
Exons: 3
Source: RefSeq, a predicted model, not a curated record